This 848-nucleotide ribosomal RNA is filed under the name uncultured bacterium. Its description in RNAcentral is "bacterial SSU rRNA". It matches the Rfam family "Bacterial small subunit ribosomal RNA", at positions 58 to 906 of the family's 1533-position model. The record is from RNAcentral.
CAAGUCGAACGAAGCACCUUGAUUUGAUUCUUUGGAUGAAGAUCUUGGCGACUGAGUGGCGGACGGGCGAGUAACGCGUGGGUAACCUGCCUCAUACAGGGGGAUAACAGUUAGAAAUGACUGCUAAUACCGCAUAAGACCACAGUACCGCAUGGUGCAGGGGUAAAAACUCCGGUGGUAUGAGAUGGACCCGCGUCUGAUUAGGUAGUUGGUGGGGUAACGGCCUACCAAGCCGACGAUCAGUAGCCGACCUGAGAGGGUGACCGGCCACAUUGGGACUGAGACACGGCCCAAACUCCUACGGGAGGCAGCAGUGGGGAAUAUUGCACAAUGGGGGAAACCCUGAUGCAGCGACGCCGCGUGAGCGAUGAAGUAUUUCGGUAUGUAAAGCUCUAUCAGCAGGGAAGAAAAUGACGGUACCUGACUAAGAAGCACCGGCUAAAUACGUGCCAGCAGCCGCGGUAAUACGUAUGGUGCAAGCGUUAUCCGGAUUUACUGGGUGUAAAGGGAGCGUAGACGGAGUGGCAAGUCUUAUGUGAAAACCCGGGGCUCAACCCCGGGACUGCAUUGGAAACUGUCAAUCUAGAGUACCGGAGAGGUAAGCGGAAUUCCUAGUGUAGCGGUGAAAUGCGUAGAUAUUAGGAGGAACACCAGUGGCGAAGGCGGCUUACUGGACGGUAACUGACGUUGAGGCUCGAAAGCGUGGGGAGCAAACAGGAUUAGAUACCCUGGUAGUCCACGCCGUANACGAUGACUACUAGGUGUCGGGCAGNAAAGCUGUUCGGUGCCGCAGCAAACGCAAUAAGUAGUCCACCUGGGGAGUACGUUCGCAAGAAUGAAACUCAAAG